Molecule: ribosomal RNA, 253 nt
Filed under: uncultured bacterium
Lineage: Bacteria
Description: partial 16S ribosomal RNA
Rfam family: Bacterial small subunit ribosomal RNA
Source: RNAcentral
UACAGAGGUCCCAAGCGUUGUUCGGAUUCAUUGGGCGUAAAGGGUGCGUAGGCGGCGCGGUAAGUCGGGUGUGAAAUCUCGGAGCUUGACUCCGAAACUGCAUUCGAUACUGCCGUGCUUGAGGACUGGAGAGGAGACUGGAAUUUACGGUGUAGCGGUGAAAUGCGUAGAUAUCGUAAGGAAGACCAGUGGCGAAGGCGGGUCUCUGGACAGUUCCUGACGCUGAGGCACGAAGGUCAGGGGAGCAAACGGG